CAGUAGCCGCGGUAAUGCGUAGGUGGCAAGCGUUGUCCGGAAUUAUUGGGCGUAAAGGGCUCGCAGGCGGUUUCUUAAGUCUGAUGUGAAAGCCCCCGGCUCAACCGGGGAGGGUCAUUGGAAACUGGGAAACUUGAGUGCAGAAGAGGAGAGUGGAAUUCCACGUGUAGCGGUGAAAUGCGUAGAGAUGUGGAGGAACACCAGUGGCGAAGGCGACUCUCUGGUCUGUAACUGACGCUGAGGAGCGAAAGCGUGGGGAGCGAACAGGAUUAGAUACCCCAGUAGUCCCUGUCUCUUAUAC
This 301-nucleotide ribosomal RNA is filed under the name uncultured bacterium. RNAcentral describes it as "partial 16S ribosomal RNA". It matches the Rfam family "Bacterial small subunit ribosomal RNA", at positions 509 to 807 of the family's 1533-position model. The record is from RNAcentral.